GAGUUUGAUCGUGGCUCAGAUUGAACGCUGGCGGCAUGCCUUACACAUGCAAGUCGAACGGCAGCACGGGAGCUUGCUCCUGGUGGGCGAGUGGCGAACGGGUGAGUAAUGGCAUCGGAACGUAUCCUGGAGUGGGGGAUAACGUAGCGAAAGUUACGCUAAUACCGCAUAUUCUGUGAGCAGGAAAGCGGGGGACCUUCGGGCCUCGCGCUCUUGGAGCGGCCGAUGUCGGAUUAGCUAGUUGGUGAGGUAAAGGCUCACCAAGGCGACGAUCCGUAGCAGGUCUGAGAGGAUGAUCUGCCACACUGGAACUGAGACACGGUCCAGACUCCUACGGGAGGCAGCAGUGGGGAAUUUUGGACAAUGGGGGCAACCCUGAUCCAGCCAUGCCGCGUGAGUGAAGAAGGCC
Molecule: ribosomal RNA, 409 nt
Filed under: bacterium enrichment culture clone ALO1_GLFRUDD03HDQFB
Lineage: Bacteria
Description: bacterial SSU rRNA
Rfam family: Bacterial small subunit ribosomal RNA
Source: RNAcentral